UACGGGGGGGGCAAGCGUUGUUCGGAAUUACUGGGCGUGAAGGGCGCGUAGGCGGCCAGACAAAGUCGAGCGUUAAAUUCCAGGGCUUAACCCUGGGCUGUUGCUCGAUACUAGUCGGCUAGAGUGUGGAAGAGGGUGCUGGAAUUCCCGGUGUAGCGGUGAAAUGCGUAGAUAUCUGGAGGAAUACCGGUGGCGAAGGCGGCAUCCUGGACCGAGAUUGACGCUGAACGACGAAAGCUAGGGGAGCAAACGGG
Molecule: ribosomal RNA, 254 nt
Filed under: uncultured bacterium
Lineage: Bacteria
Description: partial 16S ribosomal RNA
Rfam family: Bacterial small subunit ribosomal RNA
Source: RNAcentral